RNAcentral lists this unclassified non-coding RNA (432 nucleotides) under soil metagenome. RNAcentral describes it as "partial contains 5.8S ribosomal RNA, internal transcribed spacer 2, and large subunit ribosomal RNA". The stretch from base 1 to 120 matches the Rfam family "5.8S ribosomal RNA", at positions 35 to 154 of the family's 154-position model. The record is from RNAcentral.
GAUGAAGAACGUAGCGAAAUGCGAUACGUAAUGUGAAUUGCAGAAUUCAGUGAAUCAUCGAAUCUUUGAACGCAUAUUGCGCUCUCUGGUAUUCCGGAGAGCAUGCUUGUUUGAGUAUCAGUAAACACCUCAACUUCCAUAUCUUUUUUGAAAUGGGAGUUGGACUUGAGUGAUCCCAACGCUUUUCCUCACCGAAAAGUGGCGGGUUACUUGAAAUGCAGGUGCAGCUGGACUUUUCUCUGAGCUAUAAGCAUAUCUAUUUAGUCUGCCUAAAAAACAGAUUAUUACCUUUGCUGCAGCUAACAUAAAGGAGAUUAGUUCUUGUGCUGACUGAUGCAGGAUUCACAAAGACGGCUUCGGCCGACUUUGUAAACUCGAUCUGAAAUCAAGUAAGACUACCCGCUGAACUUAAGCAUAUCAAUAAGCGGAGGA